UGAUUUGGUUAAUGUCCUAGGAGGGAAUAAUUUGAAAUCCAUUUCUUGUUUGUAGAAUUAACUAGCAUAGACAUAGCUCUAGCAGUACAAUGUGUAGACAAGAGAGUGGAGUAGUGGUUGUACAAUUGUACUAUUGUCCUUCUACUGCGCUCUUUAGUGGAUAAGCAUCCAAUGCCUUCUAAUUCCUCUGAUGUAGACAUUGCUCCAGACUUCUAUUCCUUCUGCAAACUUGUGUCUUCAAUAAAUAUAACUAACUGCAGGUUCUUGACUUCAGACUCCGACAAUCUUCA
This 290-nucleotide long non-coding RNA is filed under the name Medicago truncatula (barrel medic). RNAcentral's name for it is "long non-coding RNA (MTRU_LNC008562)". Lineage: Eukaryota; Viridiplantae; Streptophyta; Magnoliopsida; Fabales; Fabaceae. The record is from RNAcentral.